RNAcentral lists this long non-coding RNA (1481 nucleotides) under Numida meleagris (helmeted guineafowl). RNAcentral's name for it is "lncRNA (ENSNMEG00000000109.1)". Lineage: Eukaryota; Metazoa; Chordata; Aves; Galliformes; Numididae. The record is from RNAcentral.
ACAGCGGAGCAAAGGGGAAAAAGAGGGGGAGGGAGGAAGGUUGCCGGGCCCAGAGAGAGGCAGGCGGAGAAGCGAGCUAGGUCCGCCCGCCUGAAGGCGGAGCUGCGCGGAGGAGGCCCCGCGCGUUGUCAUGGCGACGGCUGCGGCCUGCGGGCUCGCUGGGCGGUAUCCCACCCCUCUGUGAGGUUGUUGGGUGGGGAGGGCGGUGGGAAAAGUUUAGGAUUGACGGGACAUCUGAGGGAAAAGGGCGGUUUGAGGGCUCCGAGGACCCACGUAGAGCCCUUCUGAGAGACCAAAGAUAUAAAGAGGAGAUCUGGGCAGACCUUGAGAGCUAGAUACAGCUCUUAUCCCCAUUGCUCCCUGGAACGUAUUGUGUCCCUCUCAGAGACGUUUCCAUCCAUCCUCAGAGGCGGACAAAGCCAUUUUCUGAUUUAAAAGAAGACAAAUUUGGGGACAGAACUGCAGCCCAGCUGAUGACGUAUAGCCAGGACUUGGGCAAGAAAAGCCAGAGGGAGAAAGUUAGAAAGAGCUCUAACGUGGAGUUCCCAUUUUCAUUCAUUCUUUGGGGUAAGAGCAGCUUUCUCCAAAAAGGCACAUCCAUCCAAAGAGGCACUCAGGCACUGCUAGUCAGCAACUUUAUCCAGGAUGGCUCUGGAUAUAAGGAAAAGGGGAAGCGUGGCCUGUGAACUCCAUUGUGACUGAACUCUGCAAGGCACAACAGGGUUUUCAGAUGCCUUCCUUUGGUGGGUUUUAAUAGGCUGAACAAAUUGAAACUUUGGUGAAAUCAAAGAUAGAGAAAGAAGCGACACGUCUCUUUCUUGCGGAGGAAAAAAAAAAAAAAGCAAAAUAAUUCCUUUAAAUGCCCGAGGACAAUGUGAUAUCAAAUGUGGAGGAGAACAAGAUGAAUCUCAUUACUUUGCUCAAAGUCAGGAAUGCCUGCUCAUGAAAAUGCAGGAAGGAAACUGCUCGCCUCUACAGUCUGAAUUAAAGGAGGGCCGACAUUUCAGCGUACUGCCUGCUGCUCUGUAAACAGCCCUGCUCCAAAGGAAUCGUCUGAAUGCAGCAUCUCCAAGCCAUUGUGCCACACGGGAGUGUUUUUUCUUCUCAGUGAGGACUUCUGAACCAAAUGGAGGUCAAGAGCCUAUUACGACCAGCCUUAAAGCGUGAGCAGUGCUCUUAGAGGAGCCCGGAGGAGCAUAUGCUUUAAAGCUAAAUGGUCUCACUGUCGAACAAGAAGUGCUGUCCUUGGAGCAAGCUAUUACAGCUGCUUUGGAAAUUGUUGGUGCUGGUUGCAUGAAUAGAUUAUAACAAUUCAGCUGAGCCACGGUGAUUUCUUGGUGUAAACUUGUAGCCAUGCAAAAGCAGUAUUCUGGUCUGAGCCUAGCUCUUGACCAAGAAGAUGAGCCUAAAAAACGUACUUCUCAUUAUCUGCAAGAUGGAAAGUGCACGAAGGCAGCUGAUGGGCACUGUCUCAAGGCAGA